Mycena crocata is the source of this 86-nucleotide non-coding RNA. Lineage: Eukaryota; Fungi; Basidiomycota; Agaricomycetes; Agaricales; Mycenaceae. The record is from the annotation of a GenBank genome assembly.
GCCCCCGUUGUCUAAUGGUUAUGACGUCAGACUUCUACGCAUUGUCGCCCAUCUGGAGGCUGCGGGUUCGAGUCCCGCCGGGGGUU